Fundulus heteroclitus (mummichog) is the source of this 672-nucleotide long non-coding RNA. RefSeq lists it as uncharacterized. The transcript has 3 exons. The record is from RefSeq and is a predicted model, not a curated record. NCBI's taxonomy places the organism in Eukaryota, Metazoa, Chordata, Actinopteri, Cyprinodontiformes, Fundulidae.
UUAAAAAGGCAGAAUUUAAAGCAUGUUGCCACAGACCAAUGCAUCUUUUCCUCUGUGCAUCUUGCAAAGCGAGAUGUGCUCUGCUUCCAGAACUCUCCAAAAGAGAAGAUUGCAAUCUUCCUCAAAAUUAUGUGUACCUUGGCAUAUCUACAUUUGAAUCAUUUUAUUGAGCUUAUGUGAUAUUGGAAAUUUUUAAGUGAAUUUUGAGUUUUUAAAGCAGCAAGCCAUAAUGCUCAAAAUCAAUAUAAAUAAACAUUAUAGAUAAAGUAGGUUUUUGGUAAUGUUGAAGAAGAAGAAGUAAAAAAAACGUGCUGAGCGCUCCGCUACUGUGUGCUCAUGUCCUCUUCUGAGCCUGAAGAUGAAAUAAAACCACAACUGCUGGUAAGUGAUCAAUGGCUGGACGACGUCUCGCGUUCAGCUCGCCUUCAACUUGCAAGAACAAGCUUUAUUAAAGUGUAUUUUUUGUGAUUCACAGUAAGCAGGACGCCGUCCUCACAACUCGGAGACAAAUUGCAGGCGCUAUGAACCGUAGCAAGGACUAAGCACGCCUCAUAAUGAGGCGGUGACCUCCUAUUUGUUCGGAGCAAUAACUGCAAGUCCAGUUUUACACGAUGUUGAUAAAGACGGCAUUGUGUCCGCCUGUAAGACGUAUUAUGAGACGGUACGCAGGAG